CAUUGCUUAAUGAAAAUAUUAAGUAAAUUCUGCCCAGUGAUUUUAACGGCCGCAGUACCUUGACUGUGCUAAGGUAGCAUAAUAAUUUGGCUUUUAAUUGAAGUCUAGUAUGAAUGGGAAACAGGAAAAUUGUCUCUUUAAAAAAAUAUAAUUUACUUACUAGGUGAAAAUUCCUAGGGGUAUAUUAGACGAGAAGACCCUUAGAAUUUUUAUAAUUUUUGUUGGGGCGACAAUAUUACAUUAAACUUUUAUUUGUUUUAUACAAGACGAGAAAGAUUAAAUUACCUGAGGGAUAACAGCAUAAUUUAAAGAUUAUGACCUCGAUGUUGGAUUAGGGAAUAAUGGUUAGUAAUUAUUAUUGUUCUGUUCGAACCCUACGUGAUCU
Molecule: ribosomal RNA, 385 nt
Filed under: Mitodon wairarapa
Lineage: Eukaryota; Metazoa; Mollusca; Gastropoda; Stylommatophora; Charopidae
Description: partial large subunit ribosomal RNA
Rfam family: Archaeal large subunit ribosomal RNA
Source: RNAcentral